RNAcentral lists this ribosomal RNA (502 nucleotides) under uncultured bacterium. Its description in RNAcentral is "bacterial SSU rRNA". It matches the Rfam family "Bacterial small subunit ribosomal RNA", at positions 28 to 520 of the family's 1533-position model. The record is from RNAcentral.
GAUGAACGCUAGCGGCAGGCUUAAUACAUGCAAGUCGAGGGGCAGCAUGGUGUAGCAAUACACUGAUGGCGACCGGCAAACGGGUGCGGAACACGUACGCAACCUUCCCAUAACUGGUGAAUAGCCCUCCGAAAGGAGGAUUAAUACACCGUAACAUAAUGAAGAGGCAUCUCUUUAUUAUUAUAGACUUCGGUCGGUUUUGGAUGGGCGUGCGCCUGAUUAGGUAGUUGGCGGGGUAACGGCCCACCAAGCCUACGAUCAGUAACUGGUGUGAGAGCACGACCAGUCACACGGGCACUGAGACACGAGCCCGACUCCUACGGGAGGCAGCAGUAAGGAAUAUUGGUCAAUGGACGAAAGUCUGAACCAGCCAUGCCGCGUGAAGGAUGAAGGCCCUCUGGGUUGUAUACUUCUUUUAUCUGGGACGAAAAAAAGGGGAUUCUUCCUCACUUGACGGUACCAGAGGAAUAAGCACCGGCUAACUCCGUGCCAGCAGCCGCGG